CCAUCACUCUAAAUGCAGCACAAACAUGUUCUCUUCAGCUCCACUGCUGCUGCUGGCUGCUGCCUCGUAUGUGUUCUGUGCUACUGAGCUCAUCCAGCCAGACUCAGUGCUCAUCAAACCAGCAGAGCCUUUAACCAUCACCUGUACAGUAUCUGGAGCUUCUAUCACUGACAGUAGCAGCCAUUAUGCAACAAACUGGAUCCGACAACCUGCAGGAAAAGCUCUGGAAUGGAUCAACAGAAUUCGUUAUGAUGGAGACAUAUAUGCUAAAGAUUCACUGAAAAGCAAGUUUAGUGUCUCUCGAGACACAACCAGAAACACAGUAACCCUACAAGGACAGAAUCUGCAAGCUGAAGACACAGCUGUGUAUUACUGUGCACGAGUUGCACACCGACAGAAAAGGCCAGAUGGCUGUUCAAAAACUGUUAAACCACAUUUUACAACUUGA
Molecule: non-coding RNA, 448 nt
Organism: Colossoma macropomum (tambaqui)
Lineage: Eukaryota; Metazoa; Chordata; Actinopteri; Characiformes; Serrasalmidae
Source: the annotation of a RefSeq genome assembly